RNAcentral lists this long non-coding RNA (2792 nucleotides) under Homo sapiens (human). RNAcentral's name for it is "non-protein coding LINC00662:37". The record is from RNAcentral. Lineage: Eukaryota; Metazoa; Chordata; Mammalia; Primates; Hominidae.
AAAAUCCAAAGGUCAAACUCAGUUUGCAGGAAGGAGCAUAGGAGAAUAAAGGAUGGAACAAAGAAGAAAAAGAACAGCAAGUUACUCUGAGUAUUGUGGAAACAAACUGAAAUUAGAGUGAGAGAGAGAGAGAAAAAAAAAGAAGGUCCGAGCAAUCUCAGAUAUAUGAGAGGCCAAGAUGGGAAGAUCACUUGGGUAAGACUGGGAAGAUUGAGUCUGCAGUGAGUCACAGUCGCAUCAUUCUGCUGGAUUUGAAUGGUACUGCUUCUGGCCCAAGUUGUCUGGGCAACCUUAGACAUGGGUGUCCAUCGCGCUUCCUUCACUGCCUUGAUCAUGUCGGGGUCACCACCUGCGGGGGUUUGUCCUGCAGACCCUGACUCAACGACGGAUGAAUAAUGUACACUGACACAGAUCUUAUGCUUGUCAGUCCUGCUGAGCAUCCAGGCCACUUACAGACUCCAAGAAGAGUCCUGUCAGCCACGGCUCUGACUUGUUGGCCCUCCCGGCAUUUAUUUAGCACACAUUUAAUGACAGAAGUCUCAGGCUGGAAACACUCUUUUUGUAGAACAUACAAAUGGACAUUUCUAAGCACAUUGAGGCCUAUAAUGAAAAAUCAAAUAUCCCACAAUGAAAACUAGAAGGAAGCUAUCUGUGAUAAUGCUUUGUGGUGUAUGGAUUCAUCUCACUGACUGAAACCUGAGUUUUGAUUCACCAGGUUAAAAACGCUCUUUUUGUAGAACCUACAAAAAGACAUUUCUGAGCCCAUUGAGGCCUACAGUGAAAAACCAAGAAUCCCAUAAUACAAUCUAGAAAACAAGCUAUCUAGGAAACUGUUUUGGAUGUGUGGAUUCAUUUAACAGAAUGGAAAUAGUGUUUUGAUUCACCAUGUUUGAAACACUCUUUUUGUGGAAUGCACGAAGAACAUUCUUUGUGGAAGAACAUUGAUGCCUAUAGUGAUUAACCAAAUAUCACGUGAUGCAAACUAGAAACAAGCUAUCUGUGAAAAUGCCUUGCAGCGUAUGGAUUCAUGUCACAGAGUUACACCUAUGUUUUGAUUCAACAGGUUGGAAACAAUCUUUUUGUAGAAUCUACAAAGGAAUAUUUCUGAGCCAAUUGAGUUCUAGAGUGAAAAACAGAAUAUCCUGUGAUAAAAACUAUAAAUAAGCUCUCUGUGAAAUUGCUUUGAGACUGUGGAUGCAUCUUUCAGAGUUAUGCCCUUGCUUAUAUUCAACAGGUUGGAAACACUUUUCUUGUAGAAUCUAUGAAGGGAUAUUUCUGAACCUAUUGAGGCCUAUGGUGAAAAAUUGAAUAUUCUGCGAUAUAAACCAGAAACAAGCUCUCUGUGAAAAUGCUUUUCCAUGUGUGCAUCCAUCUUACAGAGUUAAACGUUUGUUUAGAUUCAACAGGUUGGAAAUACUCUUUUUGUAGAAUCUAUGAAGGGAUAUUUCUGAACUUUUUGAGGCCUAUUGGCAAAAUCCGAAUAUUACGUGAUAAAAACUAGAAACAAGGUAUCAGUGAAAAUGCUUUGUGAUGUGUGGGUUUAUCUCACCAAAUAAAACCUGUGUCUUGAUUCACCAGGUUGGACACACUUUUUUUUCUAUAACCUACAUAGGGCGAUUUCUGAGCCUAUUGAGGUCUAUAGCAAAGCAACAACAACAAAUAUCCUGUCUUAUAAUCUAGAAAGAAGUUAUCUCUGAAAAUACUUUAUGAUGUGUGAAUUCAUCUCACAAAGUUAAACCUUUGUUUUGAUUCAACUGAUUGGAAACACUCUUUUUGUAAAAUCUAUGAAGGGAAAUUUCUGAGCCCAUUUAGGCCUAUAGUGAGAAACAGAAUAUCCCACUGUAAUAAGUAGAAACAAGCUAUCUGUGAAAAUCAUUUAUGGUGGCUGGAUUCAUCUCACCAAAUGAAACCUGUGCUUUGAUUCACCAGUUUGGAAACACUAUUUUUAUAGAAUCUAUGCAGGAAUAUUUCUGAUCCCAUUGAGGCAUAUGCUGAAAAUUCGAAUAUCCCAUGAUAAAAACUACAAACAAGCUAUCUAUGAAAAUGUUUUGUCAUGUGUGGAUUCAUCUCACAGAGUUAAACCUUUGUUUUGAUUCAUCUGUUUGAAAACACGCUUUUUUGUAGAAUCUAAGAAUCAACAUUUCUGAGUGCAUUGAAGCCUAUAGUGAAAAACAAAAUAUCUGAUGAUAAAAACUAGAAACAAGCUAUCUGUGAAAAUGCUUUGUGAUAUGUGGAUUCAUCUCAAAGAAUUAAACUUUAUUUUGAUUCAACAGGCUGGAAACACUGUUUUCGUAGAACCUACAAAAAGACAUUGGGGAGCCCACUGAGUCUUACAGUGAUAAACCAAGGAUCCUGUGAUAAAACUAGAAACAAGCUAUCUGUGAAAAUGCUUUGCAGUUGGUGAAUUUCUUUCAUAGUUAAACCUUUUUUUAUUCAAUACGUUGGAAACACCAUUUUUUAGUGUCUCUAAAGGGACUUUUUCAGCCCUUUGAAACCUAUAGUGAAAAACCAAAUAUCUUGCAAUAAAAACAAAUAAACAAAAAAGAACUACUUAUGAAAAUGCCUUGUGAUGUGUGGAUUCAUCUCACAGAGUUAAACCAUUGUUGUGAUUCAACAGGUUGGAAACAUGCUUUUUGUAGAAUCUACGAGUUGACAUUUCUGAGCCCUCUCUGGGUUAUGGUGAAAACGAAAUAUCCCAUGAUAAAAACUAGAAACAACCUAUCUGUGAAAAUGCUUUGCAAUGUGUGGAUUCAUUUCACAGAAUUAAACCAUUGUUUUGAUUUAACAGGUUG